RNAcentral lists this long non-coding RNA (344 nucleotides) under Brassica napus (rape). Its description in RNAcentral is "long non-coding RNA (BNAP_LNC017504)". The record is from RNAcentral. Lineage: Eukaryota; Viridiplantae; Streptophyta; Magnoliopsida; Brassicales; Brassicaceae.
UCUAGUCGCUUGGUGCAAAUAGGAAGAACGGUCGGAAGGUCAGAUCUCCACUCUCCUGAAAACACAAGGCGGAAAAGUCAGGGCGCCACAAAUAAACUUUGCGAUAAAAAAAUAACCAGAAACGGCGAGGGAACGCACUUCGAGCGAUCCGGUCCUUAAGCUCGCGAAUCUUCUCGACGGUAAUCUCGGACCAACGGUAGAUCCGAAGCAAAGCGACGGCUCGAACGCUCUUCAGGAAAUCCUCAGGAUAGACUGGAGACGUGGGAUGGCCAACUGCGAGCACAACAAAAAGAAAGUUCCGUUAAGAUCAACAAAAUCAGACGUAGCUCGCGACUAGAUAUUCU